RNAcentral lists this ribosomal RNA (611 nucleotides) under uncultured Actinobacteridae bacterium. RNAcentral describes it as "bacterial SSU rRNA". It matches the Rfam family "Bacterial small subunit ribosomal RNA", at positions 252 to 866 of the family's 1533-position model. The record is from RNAcentral. Lineage: Bacteria; Bacillati; Actinomycetota; Actinomycetes.
GUGAGGUAACGGCUUACCAAGGCUAUGACGGGUAACCGGACUGAGAGGUCGAUCGGUCACACUGGAACUGAGACACGGUCCAGACUCCUACGGGAGGCAGCAGUGGGGAAUUUUGCGCAAUGGGCGAAAGCCUGACGCAGCGACGCCGCGUGGAGGAAGAAGGCCUUUGGGUUGUAAACUCCUUUCGUGAGGGAAAAAGUCCCGAGCAAUCGGGAUGAUGGUACCUCAAGAAGAAGCCACGGCUAACUCUGUGCCAGCAGCCGCGGUAAUACAGAGGUGGCAAGCGUUGUUCGGAUUUACUGGGCUUAAAGGGCGUGUAGGCGUCCUGAUAAGUCAGAUGUGGAAGCCUUGGGCUUAACCCAAGAAGUGCAUUUGAUACUGUCGGGAUUGAGUCGUACAUGGGAGGGCGGAAUUCCUGGUGUAGCGGUGAAAUGCGUAGAUAUCAGGAGGAAGGCCAGUGGUGAAGACGGCCCUCUGGGUAAUGACUGACGCUGAGGCGCGAAAGCGUGGGUAGCAAACAGGAUUAGAUACCCUGGUAGUCCACGCCCUAAACGGUGGGUACUAAGUGUGGGUGGCGAUAGUCAUCCGUGCCAAAGGGAAACCGAUAAGUA